RNAcentral lists this ribosomal RNA (274 nucleotides) under uncultured bacterium. RNAcentral's name for it is "partial 16S ribosomal RNA". It matches the Rfam family "Bacterial small subunit ribosomal RNA", at positions 523 to 796 of the family's 1533-position model. The record is from RNAcentral.
AUACGGAGGGUGCAAGCGUUAUCCGGAAUCAUUGGGUUUAAAGGGUCCGUAGGCGGACUAUUAAGUCAGAGGUGAAAUCCCACAGCUCAACUGUGGAACUGCCUUUGAUACUGGUAGUCUUGAGUUAUGUGGAAGUAGAUAGAAUGUGUAGUGUAGCGGUGAAAUGCAUAGAUAUUACACAGAAUACCGAUUGCGAAGGCAGUCUACCACGUAUAUACUGACGCUAAGGGACGAAAGCGUGGGGAGCGAACAGUAUUAGAAACCCCGGUAGUCC